RNAcentral lists this ribosomal RNA (578 nucleotides) under Clostridium botulinum. Its description in RNAcentral is "partial 23S ribosomal RNA". It matches the Rfam family "Bacterial large subunit ribosomal RNA", at positions 758 to 1336 of the family's 2925-position model. The record is from RNAcentral. Lineage: Bacteria; Bacillati; Bacillota; Clostridia; Eubacteriales; Clostridiaceae.
AAAAUCUCGUGGAGGACCGAACCACGUUGGUGUUGAAAAACCAUGGGAUGAGCUGUGGAUAGCGGAGAAAUUCCAAUCGAACUCGGAGAUAGCUGGUUCUCCUCGAAAUAGCUUUAGGGCUAGCGUCGUGUAAUUGAGUAAUGGAGGUAGAGCACUGAAUGGGCUAGGGGCUAUAGUAGUUACCGAACCCUAUCAAACUCCGAAUGCCAUAUACUUGUAUCACGGCAGUCAGACUGCGAAUGAUAAGAUCCGUAGUCAAAAGGGAAACAGCCCAGACCAUCAGCUAAGGUCCCAAAGUGUAAGUUAAGUGGAAAAGGAUGUGGGAUUUCUAAGACAACUAGGAUGUUGGCUUAGAAGCAGCCACUCAUUUAAAGAGUGCGUAAUAGCUCACUAGUCAAGAGAUCCUGCGCCGAAGAUGUCCGGGGCUCAAACUUACCACCGAAGCUAUGGGUGUACACUAUGUGUACGCGGUAGAGGAGCUUUCUGUAUGGGUUGAAGUCGUACCGUAAGGAGCGGUGGACUGUACAGAAGUGAGAAUGCUGGCAUAAGUAGCGAGAAAUAAGUGAGAAUCUUAUUGG